RNAcentral lists this transfer RNA (89 nucleotides) under Mariniblastus sp. Its description in RNAcentral is "tRNA-Ser". It matches the Rfam family "tRNA". From Rfam's summary of the family: Transfer RNA (tRNA) molecules are approximately 80 nucleotides in length. Their secondary structure includes four short double-helical elements and three loops (D, anti-codon, and T loops). RNAcentral also lists the same sequence under 2 other names. The record is from RNAcentral. Lineage: Bacteria; Pseudomonadati; Planctomycetota; Planctomycetia; Pirellulales; Pirellulaceae.
GGAAGAGUGGCUGAGUGGUCGAAAGCGCCUGAUUGCUAAUUAGGUGAACGAGUCAAAUCGUUCCGCAGGUUCGAAUCCUGUCUCUUCCG